This 230-nucleotide long non-coding RNA is filed under the name Podarcis lilfordi (Lilford's wall lizard). Lineage: Eukaryota; Metazoa; Chordata; Lepidosauria; Squamata; Lacertidae. The record is from RNAcentral.
GAGGAGGACCCAGAACAAAGGUGUGCCUGCCCUUAUAUAGACAUCUUAAAUUGCCCACCCUGGAGUCCAAGACCACCCCCAGAAACAUCAUACAUACAUCACAGAAGGGGUGUAGCCCAAGACCACCCCCCAGAUACAUCAUACCUACAUCACAGAAAAGGCGGUCUACAACAGAAAUCUGAGUGCGUUGUGUAUCUCCUGUCUGGCAAGUUACCUGAUUGCAUUAUCUG